AUUGGAAGGUUUCGGCCGGAAGGUUGAUAUUCCAGCGGCGGACGGGUGAGUAACGCGUGAGCAAUCUGUCCCAGACAGGGGGAUAACAGAUGGAAACAUCUGCUAAUACCGCAUAAGACCACGAGGUCGCAUGAUCUUGAGGUAAAAGGAGCAAUCCGGUUUGGGGUGAGUUCGCGUCCGAUUAGGUAGUUGGUGAGGUAACGGCCCACCAAGCCCGCGAUCGGUAGCCGACCUGAGAGGGUGAUCGGCCACAUUGGAGCUGAGACACGGCCCAAACUCC
RNAcentral lists this ribosomal RNA (280 nucleotides) under uncultured Eubacteriales bacterium. Its description in RNAcentral is "uncultured Clostridiales bacterium partial 16S ribosomal RNA". It matches the Rfam family "Bacterial small subunit ribosomal RNA", at positions 65 to 339 of the family's 1533-position model. Lineage: Bacteria; Bacillati; Bacillota; Clostridia; Eubacteriales. The record is from RNAcentral.